UUUUCAACUGAACAUAACAUGCAGAGGUCCGAGGCCCAACUGAAAGAGCCCAAACGCUAGCCUCAUUCACCCUACGGGAUCACACCAGAUCGUCAACCGCCCUCAUCCCCUCUCUCCUCACGCCAAUCCAAACCCUAGCCAUCGCCGCCAUCGCCGAGUACCAGGCCUCCGGGGAACGCCUCAUCGGCCUGCAUGUCGAUCCACACCGCCCUGCUCCGUGCGUCACCCUCCCCACGGAGGCGAAGGCGCCCUGCGCCGGAGAUCGCGGGAUGGUUCCACGCGGCUCCUAGGCUACCAGCUGGCCAUACGGAUCUUGCCAAGAUCGCUUCCUCACUCCUCUUCCCUGAAGGCGACAACGACUGUGGAGGAGGCAGCGGGGGUCAGCGAAGAGGUGGUCGCGUUCACGCGGGGCGCAGCCUCGCGGCCCGAGUUAUGUCUCAUCUUCCCCCCUCCCCGACGACGCGGACUCCCAUGGUUUGUGGCUUCGUGAUUCAUCAUAUUGGAACCCCUCGCCGCCUUCCCAGCCAGCGCCAGCACCCCCACCCAGCGACCCCGCCGUCGCCGGUGACCAGCCCCAACCCCAUCACAAGGCCGGCGACAAGGAAGCGGAUGUUGCCACCGCCGAAACUGAUGGGUACAAGGCGGGGUCGUCCUCAUCGCACCUGUCUCGACUGCUCCGGGAGGUAGGCAUCGACGACUCCUGGCUGCUUGUGCUGCUGUUACUUGCAGGCAGGCUCUGAAUGUUGCCAAUAGGCUCUGAAUGCUGCUGCUACAUAGCCAAGCUUGUCAGCAUUGCGACCCUUGGUGGAUGAAUAGGGUCUGCAAUAGGUGAAUGUUCUUGUUUUUCAUCUUCAGAUGAUGCAUGUUCCAUUGGACGUAUCAGUAUAGUUGCAACCAAGGAUUUGUUCAUUUUCUUUUCCCCUUUUGACCGCGUCAGGGAAAUUGGAAUUAAGGGCUUCAGACAUUUUUUAAGUGCAUUGUACUUUUUUUCAUGGCCUACUCUUUGUGAAUUAUCAUGUCAAUCAUGGGCAUUGGUAAUAUCUUGCCCGUUAGGUGGCGUUAACACAUUGUGUUGAUGAACCUAAAGACGUACGGAGUGCUCGAAAGGGUGUUGUAAACAUGUUCUGAGAUGUGGCUAUGAUAAUCUAAAGUUAUCUCCUAUAUUGCAGUUAUCCAGAACCGCGUCGCCCCUCCAUUCAUCCUUGACAACGCUGCCUGUGUUGCUUUACGUGUUCAGGGCUUCAGCAAUCCAGGUGCCACCAGUGUGGGCGCGACCCAUCAUGAGUCGAUGCUAGCGAGCCAGCCAUAGCGCGACAUCUGAUGCUUCUGCUUCCUUACAUGAACAUGCAUCAAUAAAUAUGGACCUCGGUGGUUUUCUCCACAUUAGGAAAGCUGGAAGAGCCUUUUGAACUCAGUUUUUUUGCUAACAGUGGUGUUAUGGUGAAACAGAGUUUUGUGUGUAUGUACCAACAGCUAAAAUGUAAACACGACAUUAUCAUAGUUGAGUAUAGGAAUAAUUAUCUCUUAUAUCUUAUUGCAAAAUCUGACUGUAGAUGGUUAGCUUGCAUUUUACGCUACAAUUACCUCAGAUCACUUGUUGUAUCUUACACCAAUUUACAAAUUUUUUUGAUGCAUUUUAUGACAACCUCAUGCGCUGAGAGAUA
Zea mays is the source of this 1664-nucleotide long non-coding RNA. RefSeq lists it as uncharacterized. NCBI's taxonomy places the organism in Eukaryota, Viridiplantae, Streptophyta, Magnoliopsida, Poales, Poaceae. The record is from RefSeq and is a predicted model, not a curated record. The transcript is spliced from 4 exons.